Long non-coding RNA from Rattus norvegicus (Norway rat), 538 nucleotides. RefSeq lists it as uncharacterized. The record is from RefSeq and is a predicted model, not a curated record. Lineage: Eukaryota; Metazoa; Chordata; Mammalia; Rodentia; Muridae.
CAGAGAACAAGGAGCCACAAGAGAACGAUCGAGGCCAACGUUGGCUGCUGAGACGGAGAUCUGCCCCGGUUACUUUUCACAUCACUGUGAUGCAGAGCUGGGGACUGAACCCAGGGCCUUGUGCUUGCUAGGCAAGCGCUCUACCACUGAGCUAAAUCCUCAACCCCAACUAUGUAACUCUUAAGGGUGCCUGUUACUGCUCUUGUGACCUUCCUGAGGAACACGGAAACUGCUACAGCUUCUUCAACCAGGAUAGGCAUCAUUCCCUUGUCUACUACUUAACAAACUACAACCAGCAAUGACCAACAGUGACCAACAACCAACCAACAAAUUGCCCCACCUCUUUGAGCCCUAGGACUUAUUAACCCUCUGAAAAUUUCCCAGAAUUCUAAACUUCACACAAUUCCAGAGACGAUCUGCAGCUGGCAGAACCACACCUCUGCUAGAGCAUGAGGCAAAUCCCAGCCAGCUACUGUGGACAAUCUGAAGCAGUCCCAUAUCCCACAUGUGUGAUUAAAAUGAAAACAUAGUCUUAUAA